This 425-nucleotide ribosomal RNA is filed under the name uncultured bacterium. RNAcentral's name for it is "bacterial SSU rRNA". It matches the Rfam family "Bacterial small subunit ribosomal RNA", at positions 355 to 775 of the family's 1533-position model. The record is from RNAcentral.
UCGAGGAUCUUCGGCAAUGAGCGAAAGCUUGACCGAGCGACACCGCGUGCGGGAUGAAGGCCUUCGGGUUGUAAACCUCUUUCGUAGGGGAGGAAAUUUCGGUGGGAUCACUCAUCGAUUUGACCUAGCCUAGGAAGAAAGACGGGCUAAGUUCGUGCCAGCAGCCGCGGUAAUACGAACCGUCCAAACGUUAUUCGGAAUUACUGGGCUUAAAGGGUGCGUAGGCGGCCCGGGAAGUUGGGUGUGAAAGCCCUCGGCUCAACCGAGGAACUGCGCCCAAAACUGCCGGGCUCGAGGGAGAUAGAGGUGAGCGGAACUUAGGGUGGAGCGGUGAAAUGCGUUGAUAUCCUAAGGAACACCGGUGGCGAAAGCGGCUCACUGGGUCUCUUCUGACGCUGAGGCACGAAAGCUAGGGUAGCGAACGG